RNAcentral lists this ribosomal RNA (3070 nucleotides) under Candidatus Dichloromethanomonas elyunquensis. RNAcentral describes it as "LSU rRNA". It matches the Rfam family "Bacterial large subunit ribosomal RNA". Lineage: Bacteria; Bacillati; Bacillota; Clostridia; Eubacteriales; Peptococcaceae. The record is from RNAcentral.
UCAAGAUACAAAGGGCAUACGGUGGAUGCCUAGGCGCUAAGAGCCGAAGAAGGGCGCGGUCAGCAGCGAAAUGCCACGGGGAGCCGUAAGCAGGCAGUAAUCCGUGGAUACCCGAAUGGGGCAACCCAUCCGGAGUCAUAUCCGGAUAUCACAAGCUGAAUUCAUAGGCUUGAUGAAGGCAAGCCGGGGAACUGAAACAUCUAAGUACCCGGAGGAAAAGAAAGAAUAAUCGAUUCCCAUAGUAGCGGCGAGCGAAGUGGGAAGAGCCCAAACCAAUCUUUUCGAAGGUUGGGGUUGUAGGACUUCUAUUAAGGGCAAUAAACUUAGCUGAAGAGGACUGGAAAGUUCCGGCAUAGGAGGUAAAACCCCUGUAAGCGAAAAGUUUAAAGUCUGAAGAAGGAUCCUGAGUACUGCGGGACACGAGGAAUCCCGUGGGAAACCGGGGGGACCACCCCCCAAGGCUAAAUACUCCUUAGCGACCGAUAGCGAACAAGUACCGUGAGGGAAAGGUGAAAAGCACCCCGGGAGGGGAGUGAAAAAGAACCUGAAACCGUAUGCUUACAAGCAGUCAAAGCAUAGAAAUAUGUGAUGGCGUGCCUUUUGUAGAAUGAACCAGCGAGUUGUGAUAUGCAGCGAGGUUAAGUGCUUAAGGUACGGAGCCGAAGCGAAAGCGAGUCUGAAAAGGGCGUCUAGUUGCAUGUUGCAGACCCGAAACCGUGUGAUCUACGCAUGGUCAGAGUGAAGGUGGGGUAAAGCCCACUGGAGGCUCGAACUCACUGUCGUUGAAAAGGCAGGGGAUGAACUGUGGGUAGGGGUGAAAUGCCAAUCGAACACGGAAAUAGCUGGUACUCCCCGAAAUAGCUUUAGGGCUAGCCUCAAUGGAUGAUAUACGGGGGUAGAGCACUGAAUGGGCUAGGGGCCUAUCGGUUACUGAACCCUAUCAAACUGCGAAUACCGUAUAUUUAGAAAUUGGGAGUCAGACUGUGGGGGAUAAGCUUCAUAGUCGAGAGGGAAACAGCCCAGACCGACGGCUAAGGUCCCAGAGACUACGCUAAGUGGAAAAGGAUGUGGAACCGCCCGGACAACCAGGAUGUUGGCUUAGAAGCAGCCACCAUUUAAAGAGUGCGUAAUAGCUCACUGGUCGAGUGGUUUUGCGCCGAAAAUGUAACGGGGCUCAAGCGUAGCACCGAAGCCGCGGCAUGGAACUGAUUCAUUAAGUCUUCAGAUAGGCUUAAAAAUAACAUUUAGGAAUUUUGCAACUGAUAAGGAAAACUUAAGAGGAAUGCAAAAGACUUAAAUAAAAGUAAAAUUCCCAAAUGCACUUGGGGAUCAAGCUUGACAGCAAAAAAGCUGAAGGUUUAAUGAAUCAGUUCCUUGGGUAGGGGAGCAUUGUCACAGCGUUGAAGGAUAGCUGUAAGGCUUACUGGAGUGGUGACAAGAGAGAAUGCUGGUAUGAGUAUGCGAAAAGGAAGGUGAGAAUCCUUCCCGCCGAAAAUCUAAGGUUUCCUGGGGAAGGCUCGUCCGCCCAGGGUAAGUCGGGACCUAAGCUGAGGCCGAAAGGCGUAGGCGAUGGACAAUUGGUUGAGAUUCCAAUACCACCGUAAAUCGUUUGAGCGAUGGGGUGACACAGGAGGAUGACCUGAGCGUGCUGUUGGUUAUGCACGUCUAAGCUAUAAGCGGGUGCUGCAGGCAAAUCCGCAGCGCUUAACCGCAAGUAGUGACGGGGAGCGAAAAUAAGUAGCGAAGCAGGAAAGUUCAAACUGUCAAGAAAAGCCUCUAGUGAGAUUUGUGGUGCCCGUACCGUAAACCGACACAGGUAGAUGAGGAGAGAAUCCUAAGGCGCGCGAGAUAACCCUUGUUAAGGAACUCGGCAAAAUGACCCCGUAACUUCGGGAGAAGGGGUACUCUAUAUAAAGUAGAGUCGCAGAGAAAUAGUCCAGGCGACUGUUUAACAAAAACACAGGUCCCUGCCAAUCCGUAAGGAGAAGUAUAGGGGCUGACGCCUGCCCGGUGCUGGAAGGUUAAGAGGAGAUGUUAGUUAACGCGAAGCAUUGAAUUGAAGCCCCAGUAAACGGCGGCCGUAACUAUAACGGUCCUAAGGUAGCGAAAUUCCUUGUCGGGUAAGUUCCGACCCGCACGAAAGGCGUAACGAUCUGGACACUGUCUCAACAAGGGACUCGGCGAAAUUGUAAUACCCGUGAAGAUGCGGGUUACCUGCGACAGGACAGAAAGACCCCAUGGAGCUUUACUGCAGCUUGACAUUGGAUUUUGGUAUAAAAUGUACAGGAUAGGUGGGAGGCUUGGAAGCGAGUACGCCAGUAUUCGUGGAGCCGCCGGUGGGAUACCACUCUUUUUGUACUGAAGUUCUAACCAGGGCCCGUGAUCCGGGUUUGGGACAUUGUCAGGCGGGCGGUUUGACUGGGGCGGUCGCCUCCUAAAGAGUAACGGAGGCGCCCAAAGGUUCCCUCAGCGCGGGCGGAAAUCGCGCGAAGAGUGUAAAGGUAUAAGGGAGCUUGACAGAGAGACUAACAAGUCGACCUGGUACGAAAGUAGGGCUUAGUGAUCCGGUGGUUCCGAGUGGAAGGGCCAUCGCUCAACGGAUAAAAGCUACCCUGGGGAUAACAGGCUUAUCUCCCCCAAGAGUCCACAUCGACGGGGAGGUUUGGCACCUCGAUGUCGGCUCAUCGCAUCCUGGGGCUGUAGUAGGUCCCAAGGGUUGGGCUGUUCGCCCAUUAAAGCGGUACGUGAGCUGGGUUCAGAACGUCGUGAGACAGUUCGGUCCCUAUCCGUCGCAGGCGCAGGAAAUUUGAGAGGAUCUGUCCCUAGUACGAGAGGACCGGGAUGGACGGAUCACUGGUGUACCAGUUGUCCCGCCAGGGGCAUAGCUGGGUAGCUAUAUCCGGAAUGGAUAAGCGCUGAAAGCAUCUAAGCGUGAAACCAGCCUCAAGAUGAGAUUUCCCACAGAAUAAUCUGGUAAGACCCCUGAAAGAUGAUCAGGUUGAUAGGCCGGGAGUGGAAGCAUGGUGACAUGUGGAGCGGACCGGUACUAAUAGGUCGAGGUCUUGACCUA